GAUGAAGAACGUAGCGAAAUGCGAUAAGUAAUGCGAAUUGCAGAAUUCAGUGAGUCAUCGAAUCUUUGAACGCACAUUGCGCCCUGUGGUAUUCCGCAGGGCAUGCCUAUUCGAGCGUCAUUUCAACCCUCAAGCUCUGCUUGGUGUUGGGCCCUGCCCGCUGCGGCCGGCCCUAAAGACAGUGGCGGUGCCGCCUGGCCCUGAGCGUAGUACAUCUCUCGCUCCAGUGCCCGGUGGUAGCCUGCCAGAACCCCAACUCUCGUGGUUGACCUCGGAUCAGGUAGGGAUACCCGCUGAACUUAAGCAUAUCAAUAAGCGGAGGA
Molecule: unclassified non-coding RNA, 323 nt
Filed under: soil metagenome
Description: partial contains 5.8S ribosomal RNA, internal transcribed spacer 2, and large subunit ribosomal RNA
Rfam family: 5.8S ribosomal RNA (bases 1-120)
Source: RNAcentral